CACUUCCGAAAUAAUUCAAAUAGGGCAUGUUUUACUUCCGAUUUGUCGUUUCUACGUAUUAAAUUGUUAGCUGUUGACAAAGGAUUUGAGCCAAGAACAAUGGAACACCCAAAUGCAUUGUGAAAUUGUGAUAAAUCUGGUUUGGCCAACAUAACAAGAGAUCAAACGUUGAGGCGACAACAAAAUAGGACCAAUUGCCUCCGCCGCCGUAAAAUUUCUAACAAAUAAAAUGUUUAUCAUUUGUUUUGUGACAUGCACGACGGGUGUGCGAAUUACAUUGAGCCCUGGUCACUGCCGACGUCGUCGUCCUUUUGCGGCCUGGGCCUGAUAAUGACAUUACCAAGCGGCCCAGCACCGCAUGACGUCACGAUGCGGCCAGCCCAGUGGCGAGUAGAAUGUGUGGCAACGUUGUUUUUAGGUCACAAACAUAAAGCGACAAAUUGACGCAAAACAUAUAACGCACUCCUCCGCCCCGGCCACGACCACGACCACGGACAGCCAACAACCAGGACAUGGUCAACAUGGGUACAGAUGGACGGCGGCGGCGUCUCUUUAUAGAGGAACACCUAGGAAAAAAUUCCCUUGAAUUACGUUGUUGCACCCUCUGUCUGCCUCUGUGCGUGUGUGUGUGUGUGUGUGUGUGUGUUUGUUAGCCCUUGGGUUAUGCGCAAAAAAGGACAUCUUCGCUGGCGACGAAACGUUAUGCACUCCAUUAUGCAUUUUAUGUGCCCUCAUUGAGCGUGUUGACAUUUUUAUUCCAAGCAGUUAAGCAAUAUUUAUAAACUGCCGCCCGCACGCGUAUGGACCAGGUUAUAGGCCAAUAGACCAUAAAAAAAAACCCUGGACAAGCUAUCUGAAUACUGGGUAUAAAUAGUGGACAGGCAUGCUGAAACUUGAGCCUGAAAAGCUAUUGGCAGCAUGAAGAAUAUCUACAAAUUCUGAUAAUUCAUUGAAGAUUCUUAAGCAAUCUCUCGAAGACACCAUAAAAACUGGGGUCCGCUUAGAAGAGCUUUUAUCUUAAGACGGCGCUUAUUUAUUGUUUUUGGCCAGCUGCUUAGAGACACCUUGGAGCAGCAUCAAUGACCGUGGAAGCGCCUCAUCUAAUUGAAUCACAAUAUUUUUUCAAUUUGCAUCGCUUGCCCUGGUUUGUGCAGGUGUAAUCCGAAAUGCAAUCAACAGCUUUUGUAUUAUUUGGCGGCACUUGUUGUUCUUGCCGGUGUGGGCUUCGCCCGCCCAGUGCGCAAUUUACCGGACAAAUGAUUUUUGGUGUAAUUACCGAAAAGGUAGCGGCAAACGGACCUGCCGUCGCUGCCGGCUCCUGCUGCUGUCAGAUCCAUCUCCUGCACACUUUGGCUAAUUAUAGGCCAAAAGGCAACGGCGUCUCCUGCUAGGUAAUCAGCCUUUCAGUCGUUUUGGCUACUGUACUGGAUGAUGAUGAUUGAUUAGCCCAUUGCACUGAUGAGCUUCUUAUGUGGGCCAAGCGAGCAGCCAACCAAGCCAAGUCAAGCGGGUUUCUUUUGCAUCUGCUGGCUGCGACAACUGUGCAAAUUUAGCGCGUGCCGGCAAAGAAAAACCUCACAGAGCAGCUGAAGCUGUAGCUGAAGCUAAACAACAAAUCGAAAACUGAUUUGGAGCGGAAGUUCGUUUGCACCUUUCUGCAGUUUCCUGUGUGCAGAGCAACAGCAACAGCAGCAGCAGCAGCAGCAGCUAAACACACUGCACUACACAAACAAACA
Long non-coding RNA from Drosophila virilis, 1736 nucleotides. RefSeq lists it as uncharacterized. The record is from RefSeq and is a predicted model, not a curated record. NCBI's taxonomy places the organism in Eukaryota, Metazoa, Arthropoda, Insecta, Diptera, Drosophilidae.